RNAcentral lists this ribosomal RNA (163 nucleotides) under uncultured bacterium. RNAcentral's name for it is "partial 16S ribosomal RNA". It matches the Rfam family "Bacterial small subunit ribosomal RNA", at positions 1335 to 1500 of the family's 1533-position model. The record is from RNAcentral.
CUAGUAAUCGCGGAUCAGCAUGCCGCGGUGAAUACGUUCCCGGGCCUUGUACACACCGCCCGUCACACCAUGGGAGUCGUAACACCCGAAGCCGAUAGUCUAACGAAAGAGGACGUCGUCGAAGGUGGGAUUGAUGACUGGGGUGAAGUCGUAACAAGGUAUC